AUCCUUUUCUGGUUUUUAAGGAUGAUGACUGGGUGUUCAUGCAUUUUUGUGUUAUGUGCCUUCCUCAAACCUUGUUAUAUCAGCCCAAUAACCCUUCUGAUC
This is a small nucleolar RNA of Talpa occidentalis (Iberian mole), 102 nucleotides long. RefSeq annotates it as small nucleolar RNA U13. Lineage: Eukaryota; Metazoa; Chordata; Mammalia; Eulipotyphla; Talpidae. The transcript has a single exon. The record is from RefSeq and is a predicted model, not a curated record.